AAGACAUUAGUAAAAUAUAUAUAUUAUAACACCUUGUCAAGGUGAAGUUGCAGGUUAAACCCCUGUAUGUCUUA
This 74-nucleotide transfer RNA is filed under the name Candidia barbata (Lake Candidus dace). Its description in RNAcentral is "tRNA-Asp". It matches the Rfam family "tRNA". Rfam says of the family: Transfer RNA (tRNA) molecules are approximately 80 nucleotides in length. Their secondary structure includes four short double-helical elements and three loops (D, anti-codon, and T loops). The record is from RNAcentral. Lineage: Eukaryota; Metazoa; Chordata; Actinopteri; Cypriniformes; Xenocyprididae.